AACGCGAAGAACCUUACCUGGGCUUGAACUACUGGUAGUAAGUCCCUGGAAACAGGGGCUGAUCCGCAAGGAAGCCAGCAGAGGUGCUGCAUGGUUGUCGUCAGCUCGUGUCGUGAGAUGUUGGGUUAAGUCCCGCAACGAGCGCAACCCCUAUCUCAUGUUGCUAAUCCCGCAAGGGAUGCACUUUUGAGAAACUGCCUUCGAUAAGAAGGAGGAAGGUGGGGACGACGUCAAAUCCUCAUGGCCCUUAUGUCCAGGGCUACACACGUGCUACAAUGGCCGGUACAACGGGAAGCAAUACCGCAAGGUGGAGCCAAACCCUAAAAGCCGGCCUCAGUUCAGAUCGUGGGCUGCAACUCGCCCACGUGAAGGCGGAAUCGCUAGUAAUCGCAGAUCAGCAGGCUGCGUGAAUACGUUCCCGGGCCUUGUACACACCGGUAUCUC
Molecule: ribosomal RNA, 444 nt
Filed under: uncultured bacterium
Lineage: Bacteria
Description: bacterial SSU rRNA
Rfam family: Bacterial small subunit ribosomal RNA
Source: RNAcentral